CCUACGGGCGGCAGCAGUGGGGAAUAUUGCACAAUGGGGGAAACCCUGAUGCAGCGACGCCGCGUGAGUGAUGAAGUAUUUCGGUAUGUAAAGCUCUAUCAGCAGGGAAGAUAAUGACGGUACCUGACUAAGAAGCCCCGGCUAACUACGUGCCAGCAGCCGCGGUAAUACGUAGGGGGCAAGCGUUAACCGGAUUUACUGGGUGUAAAGGGAGCGUAGGUGGCAGGGCAAGUCAGAUGUGAAAACCCGGGGCUCAACCCCGGGAGUGCAUUUGACACUGUCCAGCGGGAGUGCAGGAGAGGAAAGCGGAAUUCCUAGUGUAGGGGUGAAAUGCAUAGAUAUUAGGAGGAACAGCAGUGGCGAAGGCGACUAUCUGGCAUAUAACUGACACUGAGGCUCGAAAGCGUGGGGAGCAAACAGGAUUAGAUACCCCAGUAGUC
Molecule: ribosomal RNA, 440 nt
Filed under: uncultured bacterium
Lineage: Bacteria
Description: partial 16S ribosomal RNA
Rfam family: Bacterial small subunit ribosomal RNA
Source: RNAcentral